Long non-coding RNA from Anas platyrhynchos (mallard), 4311 nucleotides. RefSeq lists it as uncharacterized. Lineage: Eukaryota; Metazoa; Chordata; Aves; Anseriformes; Anatidae. The record is from RefSeq and is a predicted model, not a curated record.
GGUUCGCAGCCCACCUCCGGUGCCCCCUUCCCGCUGGGAGCCCCCUGCCCCACUGCGGCACCCCAGGGGGCGCAUCCUGCCCGGGUCCCCCCAUGGGGCUGAGCCCUCGGCCAAUCGCGCUCUGCCAGCUGUGUUCUUGGCCAAUCCCCUGCUGCCACCUCGCUCUGCUCCCAGCCAAUCCUCUGCUGCCACCUAGCUUUCCUUCCAGCCAAUCCCCUGCAACCACCCCGUCUUCCCAGCCAAUCCCGUGCCGCCCCAUCCCAGGGUAUAUAAACCCAAGUGGUCCAUUUUGGGGGGAAAAAUGGUGGUUUUGGGUCAAUGGGGGCGCCUCAAAACCACCCCGUAUGUGAUCCAUAGGGUUGCCUGCGCCCCACAGGACCUCUCCCCUCCAUCCCUGCCUGCCACGGCCCCAACACCGCCGAACUCGUUAGGGCCUGGCGCUAAUUACCCUUCAGACCCGUGUGAGCCCCGGGGUCUCUCAUUAACCCCUGCCCAACGCCCCCCCCCCUCUGCCAACGAAGCCACAAUUAACACAAAGCUCGUUUACGUGCUCCAGUUCCUCCGCGUGUUUAUUUAUUGGCCUUUUAUUGCGACGGGUAUUUGCAUGGAAACUGUUUCCUGCUGUUCCCCUUCCCGCUCCCAGCCAUCAUCCGCGGGUCGGGAUCUUGCGGUUUCCACGGCAACGCGUUGAGAUGCCACAGAGGGACCGCGCUGCCUUCAGACAGGUUCAUGCAUCUUCAGGAAAAACCCUUCGUAUUUCCAUCUGAGGGCUCCAGGAGGUGUAACUCCUCGGUGGAGGCCGGGCUCUCCUGUGUCCUCCCUGGUGGCUGCAGCAUCGCCGGGUCUCCGCUGUCCUCGUGGGACCCUUGGUGUGGUGCCACCAGGUCAAUUUGUCCCUUUGAUGUGGGAGAUGACAAGAUGAGAGGUGUCUUGGCGAGGUCUGCUUGCUUGGCCUCCCUUGACAGCUCACAGAGAUGCCCCUCUGGGGUCCCAAAACCUUGAUGUGCUGAUGAUUUCAAGGGGAUGCCGUGAAGUUCCUGUCUCCCUUUUCAGCAUAAAAAUUGCCCUGUGAAGGGCAGGAUGCGUUGCAUCAGAUGGAGACCCCAAACCUCAUUUUUCCCAAAUUUCAUGCGCUUGGGGAGAGCAGAGGAGACCCCGAGGGCUCCUCGCCCCCUAGCAGGGGUGCAGCAUUCAUGGACGGCUGGCGGCCCCACAAGGCAGGACGCUUUAGGACGUCUCCAGACACCGGGUGGGUUGGCAGUGGUGAAAUCCAAACCACACACGAGCAAACUCUCCCUCUAGACCUUGCCCAAGUGGGUGCCGAAGACGGCAGAGAACCCUGGGUGAUUGCAGGUGUCGCUCCUGCACCACAAGCCUGUGCGCUGGCUGUGUCUCAGCUCAUUUUCGGAUCACAUUUUGCACAAAGCCUCGGCUUUCCCUUUGCCAGGACCAGCCCUUGGUACCUCUGUGCCGUCCUUUGUUGUGUUUUUAUUUUUAUUCCUUCACCAGUCUAUAAAAUGGCAGUAAUAGGUGCUGCAAAUCAAGGGCGUCUGGAUGCUGAGCGUGCUGCCGCUCGCCGAUGGGCUCUUUGUGACCCCGGUGCAGCAAUGCUGAUUUUUAUUUAUAUAUUUAUUUAUUUAUUUUUCACGGGAAAGAGCUUGAAAAAGAAAUUUCCGUGGAAAACUACACCACGACUUCCUGCAACAAAGGAUGGAGCUAUUAAUGAAAAAAAAAAAUAAUAAUAAUAAUAAAAAAAGCAAACAAACAAAAAACACCCAAAGACGACAACAACAAAAAAAAACCCCACACACAUAAAACCACCAAAAACCUGCUGACUGCAGCCAGGAUACAUCUUCGCAGUAUAUUACUGCUUAUUGGAAUAUUCCCUGCAUCCACUUUACCAUAUGUUUGUCCUCCCUCAUUUUCAGUUGUGCUGCUUUGUUAAAUUACACGUUUCAAACCAGCUAAAGGAGGAACGAGGAGGGGGAGAGGCUGGAAACACACCGGGGGCUUUUCCUUUUUGCAAAACCCUCUUGAAAAACGAGGCAUGGCGCUACGCGGGCGGCCAGAUCCGACUCGAGUUUCCUUUCCAAUUAGGUUUCGAAGGGAAAAGACCCGGGUGCAGUGCAUGCAUCUUCCAUUUUUGAUUCCCCGUGUAAGUCACAGUGGAACAAUCGGCUGCUCUGUUCAUGCUACUCUCUAUUCAUACGGUAAUUAGGAAGCUAGGAAUGACAGCCCGUUUAAUGACGGCUGUAAUAUGUACCUGCAUCUCGCACAACAGCUGGUGCACUGGAGAAAAUGCAGCCAUGUUUCUUUGAGAUGGGCUAAUAGGAAAAUCUUGAGCUAACAAGGAAAUAAAUCUCCCCAAGGCUAAACUUCGCAGAAAAUGGUUUCGUGUGCAGAGAAAGGAAUUUUAAACGAGUUGGGCCAAAUCCAUCCCGGCUGGAGCUGAAGCGGUGAUGCUGCGGGUGCCUUCAGCCUGCUGCGGGGCUCAGGACCUGCACCCCGUUGGCGCCGGCUGUUUCUGCAGGUGUAAAUCAGGGCCGACGUGUCCCGAGCUGUGGGGUUUGCAGCAGGCUGUAAAAGGGGUCCUGUGCCGGGGGCAGGUGAUGAACCUCCCUGUUUAUUGCAGGGGAUGAAGCAUCAGAGGGGCUGAAGGUGCCGAUGGCACGUUGUGUUGGCUCUGGGCUCUGGUUUUCCAGGCUCCUGGAGGCAAAGGAGCCGUGGAUGGGGUGAAGGCUGGAAAAGAGACCUUCCCGUGGCCCCAGGUCUCAUGGGAACCAUUUGGAGGAAGAGCUGUAGGAAAAUCAGUGCCAUCGCUGGGUCACCGUGCUCACUGUCUUCAUGUGCUUCAAAUCUAAUUUCCAAUGGGAUGUGAUUUCCUAUUUCCUGGGGGCAUCUUCCCAAGGAGCAGCCACCUUCCCAGCGUCUCCUUUCCCUUCCAGAUCCCUCCAGCACCAAAGGUCUUCUGCUUUGCUCCCAUUGACCCACCAGCCCUGGUUGCCCUCAUCUUUUCCUUGCGUCUCCUUGGGUGCUGGCAGCGGGAAGAAAGAAGAGAAGAGGCUGAGAUGUCCCAGCGUCCAGCAAUCACCAAAAAGCCCUUUCCACCCCAUUUGGCCUCAAGGCCAGGGCAGGUUGCACCACGCGUGAAGACCUCCCCGUGCAGAGCAUCCCCUCCAAGGCAGAGCACCCCAAAUGGCACCCGUCAGCCAGACCUUUCGGUGACCAACUCCAGAGCAAGCUGAGCCCGCUAAAGCCGCUUGUCCACCGCGUGGUUCGCAGCCAGGGCUGGAUGCAGGGGGCAGGAUGGGACCCGCUCUGCCAUGAAUUACAGCCGAGGACGUGCGGUGCCUCUCGCCGAUGAUUUGCAGCGCGGCCCGGCCCCGCUCGCUGCGUGCCUCCUCCAAAUGGAUCCGUCUGAACCGGCUCAAGUUCUCCCCAGCACUAAUUGAUUUCUGCUUCCCGCCGGCUCCCUUCCAGCCCCCCGCCAGCCCCCAGCCCUCGGGAACCCGCAGACAAAGCCCCAGGCUCUCAGUUUCCUGUAGUCAACCUCCAACCAUCUGAUCAAGUGUCUAAAAAUCUGCGGAUUCCUCGUUUUUUUUUUUCUUUUCCCUUCCCCUUUCUCAGGCAUCCCGGGGGAAGUUCCCAGACCCCGUUCCUCAUCGCUUCCAGCCAUCUGCUCCGACCCACGGCGAGCAAAGUCGCCCUUCCUCCCCAGCUCCCCUUCAAGACCGCGCUAAUCCAUCCCGCUUGGGUCGCACAUGGCUUUUGCAAGGGACGUGGGAAACGGCUCCUCGGCAGGAGAAGACCUCAAAGGCAAGAGGAGAAAGCGGAGAGCUUUCCCAUCGGCAGAGCUCAGCAUCUCGGGGGGGCAGCCCCCGGCCGUUAUCAGCCCGUAAAGAGGAAUCCUGCAAACAACCCCUCGGUGCCCUUCCUCGCUGUCCCUCCUCGGGCUGUAAUUUCAGUGCUCCGAGGGGGUGCGCGGCCCUUCCCGGAACCGCCGGCGCUCCGCACGCUGUGAAUAAUAUCCCGCUUUUUCCAUCUGGGGCGAGAUUUACGAGCCGGCAGCUCCGUUCAGAUCUAGGUCUGAUUUCGACGGUCGAUGCUGGAAUGUGAUAUUUUCCUAAAUGUCCCUGUAGUGCCAUGAAAUCCAGUUAUAAAGAAAACAAGGACAUGUUUUAACAAUAAAACCAAUGUGCAUGAUCUAAUUAAAUGGCAUAAUAAAAUUAGGAAAUAAAUGCACAAAGCAUGAAAACCUGUUCCUUGAAAAGUGAAUCAAAUUGGCUACUAAAAUCAGCGUUUAUUCCUCGU